GGCGAACGGGUGUGUAACGCGUAGACAAACUGCCCUUCAGUCCGGGACAACCCUGUGAAAACGGGACUAAGACCGGAUGGUAUCAUCGCCUAGCAUGGGGCUUUGAUUAAAGAUCUCGAAUCGCUGAAGGAUGGGUCUGCGUGACAUUAGCUACUUGGUGGGGUAACUGCCUACCAAGGCUUCGAUGUCUAGCUGGUCUGAGAGGAUGAUCAGCCACACUGGGACUGAGAUACGCCCCAGACUCCUACGGGAGGCUGCAGUGAGGAAUAUUGCGCAAUGGGGGCAACCCUGACGCAGCAACGCCGCGUGUGUGAAGAAGCAGUUUUCUGUGUAAAACACUGUUAAUCGGCACGAAAGGAUUGGUUUGCAGCCCAUCUUGACUGUACCGGUAGAGGAAGCUCCGGCUAACUCCGUGCCAGCAGCCGCGGUAAUACGGGGGGAGCGAGCGUUGUCCGGAAUCAUUGGGCGUAAAGGGCAUUCAGCUGGGUCUUUAAGUCAGUUGUUAAAUCUUACGGCUUAACCGUAUUCUGCAAUUGAUACUCGAGAUCUUGAGUUUGAGAGCGGACAGUGGAAUACCUAGUGUAGCGGUGGAAUGCGUUGAUAUUAGGUAGAACACCUGAGGCGAAGGCGACUGU
This 635-nucleotide ribosomal RNA is filed under the name uncultured bacterium. RNAcentral describes it as "bacterial SSU rRNA". It matches the Rfam family "Bacterial small subunit ribosomal RNA", at positions 97 to 728 of the family's 1533-position model. The record is from RNAcentral.